Molecule: ribosomal RNA, 253 nt
Filed under: uncultured bacterium
Lineage: Bacteria
Description: partial 16S ribosomal RNA
Rfam family: Bacterial small subunit ribosomal RNA
Source: RNAcentral
UACGUAGGGACCAAGCGUUGUUCGGAUUUACUGGGCGUAAAGGGCGCGUAGGCGGCCUUGUCAGUCAGGCGUGAAAGCCCCGGGCUCAACCUGGGAACGGCGCUUGGGACGGCGAGGCUGGAGUUCGGGAGAGGAGAGUGGAAUUCCCAGUGUAGAGGUGAAAUUCGUAGAUAUUGGGAAGAACACCGGUGGCGAAGGCGGCUCUCUGGACCGACACUGACGCUGAGGCGCGAAAGCGUGGGGAGCAAACAGG